CCCUUAGAUGUUCUGGGCUGCACGCGCGCUGCACUGAAGCUAUCAACACGUUUUCCCUCCCUGAGAAGGGCGGGUAACCUUUUGAAUCAGCUUCGUGGUAGGGAUCGGGGCUUGCAAUUGUUCCCCGUGAACCAGGAAUUCCUAGUAGACGCGAGUCAUAAGCUCGCAUCGAUUAAGUCCCUGCCCUUUGUACACACCGCCCGUCGCUACUACCGAUUGAACGUUUUAGUGAGGCAUUUGGACCGACGCAUCUCAGUUUAACCGCUGGUUUGUGUUGGAAAGACUUCCAAACUUGAGCGUUUAGAGGAAGUAAAAGUCGUAACA
RNAcentral lists this ribosomal RNA (324 nucleotides) under uncultured eukaryote. Its description in RNAcentral is "partial 18S ribosomal RNA". It matches the Rfam family "Eukaryotic small subunit ribosomal RNA", at positions 1470 to 1796 of the family's 1831-position model. The record is from RNAcentral.